UCAUUUCCAUCAUGUGGUCGCGAUUUACAUUAAUUCAGUAUAAAUGAAAUAUCUGUUUUGAAUUCACAAUGUAAUUGAUUUAAAUCCGAUUUAAAUUGCACAAAUUUAAAACAAAACGUAUUUAAUUACAAAGUUGAAAAAUAUAGAGAAUUGCUAACAAUGAAUCUGAUAAGCGUCUUGAGUGUAGUGCUGUUAGUAAUUCAUCUGCUGACUUCCAUAUUCGCACAAAUAUUAGCGACGAUACGUCCUCCGUCCGAAUUUAAAUUGCACCUACCGCCUAUAAACACCGGAGAUAAGCCCUUCACAUUCAGGGCAUCGCCCUUAGUGUCGCCUGGCGGAAAUCUUGUCGGAGGGGUCGGAAAGAUCAUUUGGAAUCCGCCGGGUACUGACAACAAGAUUAGCCGAACUAUGAAAUGGAGAAACGGAGAGAGCUGGAGCUUCGGUACGGAAGAGUUGAUGCUGCUGCUGCUGCUCCUGCUGCUGCUGAUGAUGAUGAUUAUAAUGACGAUGACGACGACGACGACGACGAUGAUGAUGAUGAUGAUGACGACGACUCACCAUUCAUUGGAUGAAUUCUACAGAAAUCCCCCUGUCAUUUCCAUCAUGUGGUCGCGAUUUACAAUAAUUCAAUGUAAAUGAAACAGCCGGUUUGAAUGCACAAUUUGAUUGAUUUAAAUCCGAUUUACAUUGCACACAUUAAAAACAUUAAAAUGGAGAAUUGAAGUUGGUUUAUUGUAUUAGUUACGAAGUUAACCAGGACUUAACAAUGAAUCUGAUAAGCUUUUUGAGUGUAGUGCUGUUAGUAAUGCAUCUGCAGGCUUCCAUAUUUGCACAGAUUUUAUGGACGAUAAUUCCUCCGGACAAAUUAAAAUUUGACCUACGACCUAAUAACACCAGAAUUAAGCCCUUCACAUUCAGGACAACGCCUUUAGUGUCACCUGCCAGAGAUCUUGUCGGAGGUGCCGGAAGGAUCACUUGGCACCUGUCGGGUACCAACAAAACGAUUAACCGAACUAUGAGCUGGAGAGACGGGCAGGGUACGCAAGGAGAUGUCGGAGUCGGGCAACAAAGGAACACACGCAUCUCAUGGGUCGUCAAUCAUAGUCCGAAGACAGAGUUGUCCGGUCAAGUCGGCGUCCGACUUAACAUUGGCGGCGAAGGAAGAAGACGUUCAUCACGAAGAGGCGAAGGUGGAAGAAGACGUUCAUCACGAAGAGGCGGAGGUGGAAGAAGGCAUUUAUCACGUGGAGACGGCGGAGGCGGCGAAGGCGAUCGCCUUAAAGAGGCAAAAUCCCUGGAGGAAGCUCAAUGAAGUUUUCACUGAUUUUGCGUAUUGAAGUGUUCAAAUAAUUUAAAUGAAAAUUAAAUUAAAUUUAUCUUG
Molecule: long non-coding RNA, 1381 nt
Organism: Mya arenaria
Lineage: Eukaryota; Metazoa; Mollusca; Bivalvia; Myida; Myidae
Exons: 5
Source: RefSeq, a predicted model, not a curated record